Molecule: ribosomal RNA, 267 nt
Filed under: uncultured Syntrophaceae bacterium
Lineage: Bacteria; Pseudomonadati; Thermodesulfobacteriota; Syntrophia; Syntrophales; Syntrophaceae
Description: partial 16S ribosomal RNA
Rfam family: Bacterial small subunit ribosomal RNA
Source: RNAcentral
AAUUGCCAUCAUUUAGUUGGGCACUUUAAAGAGACUGCCGGUGUUAAGCCGGAGGAAGUGGGGAUGACGUCAAGUCCUCAUGGCCUUUAUGCCCAGGGCUACACACGUGCUACAAUGGGCGGUACAAAGAGAAGCAACCUCGCGAGGGUGAGCAAAUCUCAAAAAGCCGUUCUCAGUUCGGAUUGAAGUCUGCAACUCGACUUCAUGAAGUCGGAAUCGCUAGUAAUCGCGGAUCAGCAUGCCGCGGUGAAUACGUUCCCGGGCCUU